This 336-nucleotide small RNA is filed under the name Pongo abelii (Sumatran orangutan). Its description in RNAcentral is "sense intronic". Lineage: Eukaryota; Metazoa; Chordata; Mammalia; Primates; Hominidae. The record is from RNAcentral.
AAAGUUGCUGUGUCAUUGCCCUCCCUGCUGCAGCCACCCAAACGGGGCCGCUUGUACUUGGGGGCCAGGGCCUGAUCCCUGGCUGGGGGAAGGGGACUCUGCUCUCUCGAUGCUCAUUUCUCCCCGCCCUCCCGGGGUUUGCCCUACUCGGGGGGUCAGAAGACAGGAGAUUGGCGGCCAUUUUAGACGCAGUAACCGAGAGUCUGCACCCUUAUUUAGAUAACCAAGUUAAGAGGAAGACUUAAGAGUAAGUUGGGGGGAGGGGGCGAAACUGAGCUCCCAAAAUGGCUCCUGCCCCUCCUCGGAGGCGGACGGCCGGGGGGAGGGGAGGAGGGG